RNAcentral lists this unclassified non-coding RNA (352 nucleotides) under soil metagenome. RNAcentral's name for it is "partial contains 5.8S ribosomal RNA, internal transcribed spacer 2, and large subunit ribosomal RNA". The stretch from base 1 to 120 matches the Rfam family "5.8S ribosomal RNA", at positions 35 to 154 of the family's 154-position model. The record is from RNAcentral.
GAUGAAGAACGCAGCGAAAUGCGAUAAGUAAUGUGAAUUGCAGAAUUCAGUGAAUCAUCGAAUCUUUGAACGCACAUUGCGCCCGCCAGUAUUCUGGCGGGCAUGCCUGUUCGAGCGUCAUUACAACCCUCAGGCCCCCGGGCCUGGCGUUGGGGAUCGGCGGGGCCCCCCGUGGGCACACGCCGUCCCCCAAAUGCAGUGGCGGUCCCGCCGCAGCUUCCAUCGCGUAGUAGCUAACACCUCGCGACUGGAGAGCGGCGCGGCCACGCCGUAAAACACCCAACUCUUCUGAAGUUGACCUCGAAUCAGGUAGGAAUACCCGCUGAACUUAAGCAUAUCAAUAAGCGGAGGA